Molecule: long non-coding RNA, 1685 nt
Filed under: Homo sapiens (human)
Lineage: Eukaryota; Metazoa; Chordata; Mammalia; Primates; Hominidae
Description: HSALNT0021993
Source: RNAcentral
CAGAUGUGAUGACUUCCCUAUUCGGAUGCCUGCGAGCUUGCACACUCGUGUACGGGCACACACAUACAUACGGGGAAGCCAGCUGCCAUGUUGUGAGCAACCCUAUGGAGAGACCCUCGUGGUGGGCACUGAGGCCUCUGCCAGCAAUAAGCUGAGGAGCAGAUCCUUUAUCCCACUCAAGCCUUUGGAUGACUUCAGCCUUUGCCAAGACCUUUGAGUGCAACCAUAUGAGAUAACCCAAGCCAGAAGCACUAGCUAAGCCACUCCUGGAUCCCUGCUCCUCAAAGAUUCUGUGACAUAAUAUACGUAUUUUUAAUUUAAAGUACAACACUUUGGGGGUGACUUGUUAUGCUGCAAUAGAUAACUAACAUGACCAUAUAACAAUAGGAAUAAUAACCAACAAAUCAGGUCCCUUUUCUUCAUCAGAAGGAUUUCAUGAUAUUGCUCAGGUCUAGACUUGGGUAUGGCGAUUCCAAUGGAGUGACUUCAUCCUUCUGACUCAGCAUCUAACUUCUGAUGCUACAUUGUCCAUUUACUGGAAAACUUGUUGCUUAUUCCAUGUUGCCUUCAUUAAUUGCCACUACUGAUACCUAGUACACCAGUCUCAAGAGCAGCUAUUCAGAAGACAAAGGUCUCUGAUAGAAACAGAUGUUCUGUUCAUCUUUUUUGCUGCUUAUAUUAAACCAUUGCAACAGAUUUGUUGCCUUGAUUCUGAUUGUAGAUGUUUUGCACAAAUUAUAUCCCUUUUUAAGUGGCAACAACCACUCCUAGAAUACAUACACAGCAUGAUCAAACCCUCAUCAUUUACACCUCAGUCCUGAGCCACUUGUUUUUUUUUGCUUUUUGUUUUAUGUUUUUUUUUUUGAGACGGAGCUCGCUUUGUUGUCCAGGGUGGAAUGCAGUGGCGCGAUCUCGGCUCACUGCAAGCUCCGCCUCCCGGGUUCACGCCAUUCUCCUGCGUCAGCCUCCUGAGUAGCAGGGACUACAGGUGUGUGCCAUCAUGCCCGGCUAAUUUUUUGUAUCUUUAGUAGAGACAGGGUUUCACCGUGUUAGCCAGGAUGGUCUUGAUCUUCUGACCUCGUGAUCCACCCGCCUCGGCCUCCCAAAGUGCUGGGAUUACAGGUGUGAGCCACCGCGCCUGGCCGAGCCACUUCUUCCAUCAGCCCGAUUCCUUACCUUUUUGGCCUUUUUUUCUCACCACUGGGUCCUUGUCUUAUCUCUGCUUCCCUAAUUCUGGUUUUCUAUUCUUCAGUAAAUGUCCUACUCCAUCUCACUUGGUUCUGAGAUCUUUCUCUCCUGGUGCUGUCUCCAUUGUAGAGAACUGGCCAUAUAUUCCUUGACACUGUCAGUCAGACUCAGAGAAAGUCUAGCUCUGUUGUUUGUUCUCACCUUUAAGACAUUGCCUCUGAGUGUCUGGUUCUAAACAAUGCCCUGUCUCUCUUGAUUCUUCCAGAUGCCCCAUGUGGAAUUAUUCAGCCAUCAUUAGUCUGGGCCAGGGUGGCUUCUGCACCUGUCUUCAUCCUCAGAUAUUUUCAGCUUUAUCUUGUUGUUUAUAUCAGAAACCCUUGUUGUUGAUGAUGUUCUUUUCUAAAUGUAGACUGCAAUGGUUCUCAAUCAUGACUGGCGUUAAAAUCUCCUGAAGAAAAAAAGAGAAUGCUUACAUACUAUUGGCGGUAAUGUAAAUU